RNAcentral lists this ribosomal RNA (409 nucleotides) under Ototyphlonemertes duplex. RNAcentral describes it as "SSU rRNA". It matches the Rfam family "Eukaryotic small subunit ribosomal RNA", at positions 89 to 485 of the family's 1831-position model. Lineage: Eukaryota; Metazoa; Nemertea; Enopla; Monostilifera; Ototyphlonemertidae. The record is from RNAcentral.
GCGAAUGGCUCAUUAAAUCAGUUAUGGUUUAUUAGAUGGUGCUAUCCUACUUGGAUAACUGUGGUAAUUCUAGAGCUAAUACAUGCGACAAAGCUCCGACCCUCUAUGGAAAGAGCGCUUUUAUUAGAUCAAGACCAACCGGUAUCGCUUUSGGGUGUGCCGUCGGAUUGAUGACUCUGGAUAACCAUUGCCGAUCGUAUGGCCCUGUGCCGACGACGCAUCUUUCAAAUGUCUGCCCUAUCAACUAUCGUUGGUAGGUGAUUUGCCUACCAAGGUGUUUACGGGUAACGGGGGAUCAGGGUUCGAUCCCGGAGAGGGAGCAUGAGAAACGGCUACCACAUCCAAGGAAGGCAGCAGGCGCGCAAAUUACCCACUCUUGGCACGAGGAGGUAGUGACGAAAAAUAACAA